RNAcentral lists this long non-coding RNA (745 nucleotides) under Mytilus galloprovincialis (Mediterranean mussel). Lineage: Eukaryota; Metazoa; Mollusca; Bivalvia; Mytilida; Mytilidae. The record is from RNAcentral.
CCUUAAGGGGUCAAUUGACCAUUUAGGUCAUGUGGACUUAUUUGUAGAUCUUACUUUGAUGAACAUUAUCGCUGUUUACAGUUUAUCGCUAUCUAUAAUAGUAUUCAAGAUAAUAACCAAAAACAGCAAAAUUUCUUUAAAAAUUACCAAUUGGAGGGCAGCAACCCAACAACCGGUUGUCCAAUUCAUUUGAAUAUUUCAGGGCAGAUAUAUAUUGACUUGAUUAACAAUUUAACUCCUUGUCAGAUUUCCUCUAAAUGAUUUGGUUUCAGAGUUGUAAGCAAAAAACUACAUUUUACCCCUGUUCUAUUUUUAGCCGUGGUGGCCAUCUUGGUUGGAUGGCCAGGUCAUCGGACACAUUUUUCAAACAAGGUACCUAAAAGAUGAUUGUGGCCAAGUUUAAAAUAAUUUGGCCCAGUAGUUUCAGAGGAGAAGAUUUUUGUAAAAGAUAACUAAGAUUUACGAAAAAUGGUUAAAAAUUGACUAUAAAGGGCAAUAACUCCUAAAGGGUCAACUGACCAUUUCGGUCAUGUUGACUUAUUUGUAAAUCUUACUUUGAUGAACAUUAUUGCUGUUUACAGUUUAUCUCUAUCUAUAAUAAUAUUCAAGAUAAUAACCAAAAACGGCAAAAUUUCCUCAAAAUUACCAAUUCAGGGGCAGCAAUCCAACAACAGGUUGACCGAUUCAUCUGAAAAUUUCAGGGCAGAUAGAUCUUGACCUGAUAAACAUUUUUACUCCGUCAGAU